Molecule: ribosomal RNA, 266 nt
Filed under: uncultured bacterium
Lineage: Bacteria
Description: partial 16S ribosomal RNA
Rfam family: Bacterial small subunit ribosomal RNA
Source: RNAcentral
CAACAGAGGGAGGCAAAGCCGCGAGGCAGAGCAAACCCCGAAAAAGCCGUCCCAGUUCGGAUCGCAGGCUGCAACCCGCCUGCGUGAAGUCGGAAUCGCUAGUAAUCGCGGAUCAGCAUGCCGCGGUGAAUACGUUCCCGGGCCUUGUACACACCGCCCGUCACACCAUGAGAGUCGGGAACACCCGAAGCCCGUAGCCUAACUUUAACGAGAGGGCGCGGUCGAAGGUGGGUUCGAUAAUUGGGGUGAAGUCGUAACAAGGUAGC